This is a long non-coding RNA of Papaver somniferum (opium poppy), 246 nucleotides long. RefSeq lists it as uncharacterized. The record is from RefSeq and is a predicted model, not a curated record. The transcript has 4 exons. NCBI's taxonomy places the organism in Eukaryota, Viridiplantae, Streptophyta, Magnoliopsida, Ranunculales, Papaveraceae.
CCGAGCCAGAUCCAAGAGACGAUCUGUCUGGAAUGGAUGUGGCUAGAAAGGUCAUAAUUCUAGCUAGAGAAUCUGGUUUAAGACUGGAGCUUUCUGAUAUCCAAGUGGACAGCCUUGUGCCAGAACCAUUGAAAUCAAGUGCAUCAGCUGAGGAGUUCCUGCGGCGUCUACCAGAAUUUGAUCAGGAAGUCGCAAAGAAACGGCUUGAUGCGGAGGCUGCUGGUGAAGUUCUGAGGUAUGUUGGGG